GCCAGCCCAUAUAAUACUAGACAAACCAACCACCUCCGGAUAUGUCUCUGAAAACAAUAACUCUCAGCUCGAAUAGGCUAUGGUUCCCAAGAGCUGACUGUUUAUCUCUUCCAGUGGGUGCUAUUAAAUUAUACAUGACGAGGGCCAACAUCAGCCGAAACUUAUCUAAGUAAUCUAACUAACCUAUAGUCUAUUUAAUGUCCAUAUAAACAGGGUUGUUUCUCCGUAGAAUGAAAAAGCAAGGUACAUUUUUAAUCGAUUUCCGAAUCUUAUUGGAUUAUCAUCCGAUGCAUCUUCAUCAAUUUGACCAAUUCAAGAGAAAGCAAGCAACCAAGGUGAGUGGUACAAGCAACGACACCAAAAUGGCCAGCAAUUACAACUCCGUUGCUUAUACUAUGCCUUCGCUAAUUGUUUUAGGUACAUACAGAAUUGUGACUUACCAGUUAAAAACAAUCUUUUACACUUGUAAGAGUGGUAAGCCAGGGAUAAUUCUGAGAUAAUUUUCAGUUCCUUUUUUGAUCAUUCCUAGUGCUCCUAUAAUCACCAUAUUGUAUCCAUCUUGAGAUGCCAUAUUUCUUUGAAUUUCAAUGAGCAAAUCUUUAUAUUUUUUGAGCUUAUGAAAUUCUUUUGCCGAGUUAUUAUGAACACAAGCAAGGAUCAUACCGAUCAAUAAACAGACUUCAUUGUUUUAGUUUUUCAGAAUGAUAUCCGGUUUAUUAGCUUUGAUGGUUCGGUCCGUAUGUACCGGGAAGUCUCGAAGAUUCGUUACAUUUUCUCCUUCAGUUACAACCUCAGUAAGAUGCUUAUACCAUUCGUCAACACUUUUGAUUUUAUAGUACCGACAUAUUAACAAGCGUAGAUAUUGGCCAACUCUAACAUGUCUAAAAUUUGACAUCCAGCGAUUGGGUGGUCCAGUUUCAAUCACAUCAUUGCAGAAUCGGCAUUUUGGAUCUACUCCAUCUUUCGACAAAUUGGUUUGGUAGAUUCGGAUAAAUAGGCUUUGUUCUUAUUCAGCUGAAUGAGAUCUUCGGUCACUGCCUUUAGCCCUGAGCUCCCUGAGCUUCAACACCAUCUUGUUUGCUACGGGCCACAUAUUUGCGAUUUAAACUAUUGCAGCUUAUUUUACUGGGUAUGAUGGAAAGUCAGUUGUCCACAGCUAGCAGAUUAAGGCGACACAUUUUUAUUGAUCAUACUUAAAGAACCCCGUGAAAAGUUCUUACAGUUCCAUUCAAUACUGAUAUUUGUUGAUGUUCUACCUUCACAUUCGCACCGAUUUUUUUUCAGCCAUAUUCGUAGUGGAGUGCUGAUAUUUCCAAGUACACCAAUUACAAUUGAUAUCAUGUCUACCCUCUUUCAACCAAUUACUAUUGGUAUCACGUUUACUCUUUUCAUUAUUAUUAUUAUUAUUAUUAUUAUUAUUAUUAUUAUUGAGUGAGAGAGCAGUGCAUGCCAUCAAAUUGACACUGGGGUAAAAUAUACGAAGCCCAGUAUACCCAUCAUGACUACCCGUCUGAUAAGGGUACACUAGGCACAUGCAUCACAACUAUAUGUGCGCAACAUGGUAAUCUCAUAUCAAGAUAAACAGCACAUGACCUUGCAGGUGGGGCCCAGUUAGAAUUUUCUUCAGGUCGAGUAGCCCAUCCGGCUCAAAAGGUCCCUGAAUUAGGGUUGUUAAGGAUGUUGAACAAAACACCCAUGUUUCCAGAGGGGAAUUAUUCAAACCCCAAAGAAUCCCUCUCAACACAUGGCUAUGAUGAUCCCCCACUACUUCUGCUCGUGAUCAGAUAUGCACAUAUCGUCAGCCACUAAGGAACAUGCUCAACUGGUUAAGGUCAAACAACUGACAAGCAAAUCUGUAGUAUUGAGCAGAAUAUUUGCUGUAGCCCAUCUUUUAUACCAAGACAAAAUAAUGUACAUGAUAGCACUUCCAAUCAGUUAAGAUUAGAAGCCACGAAAGCCACCGCCUGGUACCGCAUCAGGGCAUUAUUAUUAUUAUUAUUAUUAUUAUUAUUAUUAUUAUUAUUAUUAUUAUUAUUAUUAUUAUUAUUAUCAUCAUCAUCAUCAUCAUCAUCAUCAUCAUCAUCAUCGUCGUCGUCGUCAUCAUCAUCGUUAUCGUCGUUGUCGUCGUCAUCAUCAUCAUCAUCAUCAUCAUCAUCAUCAUCAUCAUUAUUAUUAUUAUUAUUAUUAUUAUUAUUAUUAUUAUUAUUUACCACCAGCAGAUGAAGCCCCACAUCACUGAAGAGAGACACACAACACGUUCCCUUUCCCAACCAAAUCAAUUCGGACAUUUCAAGUACUGAUGGGGAGAAAGGGGGGGGGGCACACAGUGCCGCCGAAAAAGAAAAGAAAGAAAAAGAGCAAAGAGACAAUAGAAAAUGUGGGGAGGCGCAAAGAAGCGGAUCUUCCCAACAACAGCAGCAACAACAACAACACCUUCACCAGCACUACCACCUGAAAACACCAACACAAAUUACAACACACAGAGACACCACCAGCACUACAACCAUCACAACCAUAAAGGAAAUCAACGAAGACCUGGUCACGUAUCUUAAAGGCAACAUAGACACGACAAGCUGUUUUAAUUUCAAUCAAGCGAUGUGCGAUCGAACGCUGCGCACCGUACUCUGCGAGUGGUAAUUUGAUGAGAUCGAUAAUUAAUCCUAAAGAUAGAUAGGCGCAGGAGUGGCUGUGUGGUAAGUAGCUUGCUAACCAACCACAUGGUUCCGGGUUGAGUCCCACUGCGUAGCAUCUUGGGCAAGUGUCUUCUGCUAUAGCCCCGGGCCGACCAAUGCCUUGUGAGUGGAUUUGGUAGACGGAAACUGAAAGAAGCCUGUCGUAUAUAUGUACAUAUAUAUGAGUGUGUGUGUAUAUGUUUGUGUGUCUGUGUUUGUACCCCUAGCAUUGCUUGACAACCGAUGCUGGUGUGUUUACGUCCCCGUCACUUAGCGGUUCGGCAAAAGAGACCGGUAGAAUAAGUACUGGACUUACAAAAAGAAUACGUCCCGGGGUCGAUUUGCUCGACUAAAGGCGGUGCUCCAGCAUGGCCGCAGUCAUGACUGAAACAAGUAAAAGAGAGUAACAGAGAGAGAGAGUAAAGAGAUAAGCCAAAAAUAUCGGUAGAACCAAAGUCUUACAAAUCACUGCUGAAUUCUUCAUUGUCAUUCGAGUUAAAAGCCAAAGAAUCCGUUUUCUUCCAUGCAAAUUUUCUGUAUUUAUUUGUUUAUCUAUUUAUUUAUUUAAUAAUUUAUUUAAUUAUUUGCCAAUUUAUUCAUAUUUUUAUUCCUUUAUCGUUUCAUUAUAAACAAUUAGGCGCAGGAGUGGCUGUGUGGUAAGUAGCUUGCUAACCAACCACACGGUUGCGGGUUCAGUCCCACUGCGUGGCAUCUUGGGCAAGUGUCUUCUACUAUAGCCUCGGGUCGACCAAUGCCUUGUGAGUGGAUUUGGUAGACGGAAGCUGAAAGAAGCCUGUCGUAUAUAUGUAUAUAUAUGUAUAUGUGUGUGUGUUUGUGUGUCUGUGUUUGUCCCCCUAGCAUUGCUUGACAACCGAUGCUGGUGUAUUUACGUCCCCGUCACUUAGCGGUUCGGCAAAAAGAGACCGAUAGAAUAAGUACUAAAAGGUGGUGCUCCAGCAUGGCCGCAGUCAAAUGACUGAAACAAGUAAAAGAGUAAAAGAGUAAGAGUAAGAUUCAGAUGUAAUGUGAAAUAUGACGUAAGGGGCAUAAUUCUUAAUAACCUUUUCAGAAUUAUGUCCCUUACAUCCUAUUUCACCUUAUUGAUGGUAUUUUCAAAUGCAGUUUAUUUCGGAGUUUUCUCCCUUAGACUUCUUACUACUUUAAGCCAAAGGGAUUUUGGAUGCGUUUAGAAAGUAUCGGAGAAUAUCUAUGUUGUUACAGUGAUCGCUCGCUACUUCGCAGUUCAACUAUCACGGAUUCACUACUUCGCGGAUUUUAAAAGUAUAUAUAUAUAUGAGCGCCUAAAAUUUUUCAUUAAAUCCAUUAAAAUAGUAAUAAUUGAUAUUAUUUCCUAGCAAAAAAGCAUAUACAGGGAUAUUUGAACUUAAGACGGGCUGUGAUUGGUGCAAUGGAGAGAGACGACGAAUCACAGCUUUCUAUUUUGUAAUCUGGCCUGCGUAACAGAAACAAUCUUUAUUUUUUAAAUCUAAAGUGUUAUUGCUUAACAGUUGUCCUUGUUAUUAAUAGUCAACUGUAAUGGGUGGGUUGUUAACAGUACAGGGAGGGUUUUAAAGGUCCAAAUACACGUUAAAUAACCACUGUAAAUAUGGUGUUCCUACUUCGCGGAAAUUCAGUUAUCGUGGCCGGUCUCGGAACCAAUCUACCGCGAUAAACGAGGGAUCACCGUAUUAACAGUUAUUUAUACAAACACGCAUGCAUACAGACAUACAUGGAUACACAGACUGAUAGAUAAACAAAUAGAUCGAUUCAUAGACAGACUGACAGACAGAUGGACGGAUAGAGGGAUGGACGGACAGAUGGACUGACGAACAGAUGGAUGGAUGGAUGGAUAGAGAGGGGGAUAGAGAGAGAGAUAGAGAGAGAGAAAGUGAUAGAUAGAUAGAGAGAGAGAGGGGGGAGAGAUAGAUAGAUAGAUAGAUAGAUAGAUAGAUAGAUAGAUAGAUAGAUAGAUAGACAGACAGACAGACAGACAGACAGACAGACAGACAGGCAGACAGACAGACAGACAGAUAAUCCACCUCGCAAAAUUUCACGCCUUGUACCUAUACCGUGUAGAUGCGGAUCCUAGUGGUUUAUUGUGUUGCGUUUAUGAUCGUAAGAUUGUGGUUUCGGUUCCCGGAGAGGGCGACGAGUUGUGUUCUUGUGCAAAACACUUCAUUGUACGAUGCUCCUGUACACUCAGCUGGCAAACAUGAGCAUUCCUGCGACGGCCCGGCGUCCCGUCCAGAGUCUGGGGUGGAUACACGAGCUACACAAGCUGGGAAAGUGGUCUUAUGAGCCCACGGCUCUGCAGGGAGCUAUGAUUUUGUUCAUUGUUGGGCUGUUUCGUGCAUCAUGUAGAAAGACUCGGUGUUGUUGUUGUUGUUAGCUGGUUGAUUCGUUAGCGCGCAGGAUGAAAUGCUUGGCGGUAUUUCGUUUGCCUCUACGUUGUGAGUUGAAAUUCCGCCAAGGUCGAUUUUGCCUUUCAUCCUUAUGUGUGUGCUUAUAUAUGUAUAUAUAUAUACACACACACACAUCAGUACGUUGCUAAGGAAUAUCUUCGUAAUAGGCCACUAUUCUCAUAAAGAUCUGAAAUCAUAUAUAUAUAUGUCUAGUGAAAGGAGUAGUUUAUAGAGCCAAGGUGCAAGUGGAAGGCUCAUCGGAAUACAAGAUAUACACAGGGGCUUCAGAAAAUUCAUUUAAAACAAGAUUUUAUUCUCAUAAAAAUUCAUUUAAAUACCCAGAGAAUAGGAAGAAAACCAGCCUAGCAAAAUAUGUCUGGGAACUAAAAGAAAAGGAAGCCCCACCUUUCAACGUGACAUGGAGCAUUCUGGACAGGGCGGCACCAUACAGGCAUGGAGCUUACAAAAAUAAUUUCAAGUGCAGACUUUGUCUAUUAGAAAAAAUGUACAUCUUAUUCAAAGACAAUAAUUCUUUGAAUCAAAGAAGUGAGUUAAUGAACUUAUGUAGGCACGCGGCUAAAUUUAAAAUUUCGAAUAUAAAUAUACCAUAUGGAUAGAGUAUAUAUUUUGUAUUUUUGAUUUUGAUUUUGACUCUUGAACGAUGAGCGCUACGAUGGAUUUUGUUUUUGUUUCCAAGCUAUGCGGAUCUUAAUCCGUAUAGCAAAGUCUUAUGUUUCUACAUAUAUAUUAGGAAAAACCUACAAACUUUGUUUUCAUGUUAUUGUAUUGCAUAGGAUUACCUUGAUUAUUUAUAUUACCUUGAUUAUUUAUAAAUGACCCAAAAUAGGAUGUUAUAUUUUAUUUUAUAUGUCUUUCGUAUAUAUUUUUAUUAAUGCACCCAUUUUUUUUUAAAAGCAAUGUUUUUUUUUAAAAAAGCAAUGUUGUCAAAAUUAGAAUGUUUAUAUAAGUAUGUGUAUAGCAAAGCAUAUGUAUUUGUAAGCAUGCGUAUCUGUGUAUGUGUAAGUGAAAGUAUGUUUGUGCUUAAGCACACAUAUACACGACUGUAUGUAUAUGUAUCCAUUCAAACUUGUGUAUGUAUACUGGUCUCUAUAUAUGCCAAUAAUACCGUUACGCUGCUUGUAUACAUAAUUUUUUCUUAUUUCGUUUUUUCCCCACCCCUCCUUCGUUCCUUUUUUCUCUCUCCCUUUCUUUCGUUCCCCCUCCUUGCUCAGUAUAUGAGAAUUGCUACAUAGAUGAAUUUUAGCUUGCGUGCGAGACGGUUUGCGUGAAUAUAUGUACACAUGCUUUUAUGUGUAUAUUUAGAUUUAUAUUCAUACGUCUGUAUAUGUAUGUAUGGCGUUUACGCGCAUCCUUUUGUGUAUGUUGAUAUAUAUAUGUAGAUUUUAAUAUAAAUAUGUAUUGCAGUAUUUAUAACAGGUUUAAUUUCUAUGCAUUAAUUUGCACUGUCUUCAUUAACGUCAAUAGGUUUUUUCCUCGGAUUUUAUCAUUUUUAUAAGUUUUUUAUAUAUAUAUACAUAUAUUUUUGACCUUUUUUAUCGCUCGAAGAUUGAGUUUUUUCUAAAGGGCCAAUCAAACAAGUCCAUUUUUUUUUAAAGGUGUAACGUUUGUAAGAGUAUAGAUUGAAUUGAUAUAUCAGUUCCAUUCUAGCAAAAACUGUCUGAUGAACGGCAACGAGAAACUCAGAGUAACAGAUUUUGUUGAAUUUUCUGCUGCUUAAAAUAAAGCAUAUUACUCUACCACUGGUAUUUGAGUACUCUUUUUUCCACCUUGUUUCACAUUUAUGUGUUUACUCCGGUAUAUAUAUAUAUAUUGUUAUAUUUAGGAAUGGUCAUUUUGCCAGUUUAGCCAAUAAAAACACACGCACUAUAUAUUUGGUGUUACUUUGCUUCAGUGUUAUUUAUUUUUUACAUUAAUCUUAAUCUUAUUUCGGCCAGAGUUCUUUCGUCACACUCCUGUGACCGCAUCAGAGGUCCUUUGUUUUCUUCUUUCUUUUUUGUGUCUCUCCUUACUAACCGUCAGCCAUUUUGUAUUUCUAUUGUAUUUAUUUAGCGUGUGGGUGGGGAUGCCUGUAAUAUUUGUAUCUUCUGUUUAUAUACGUUCAUGUAAUUUGUUUUUGUUGUUGUUGUUUUUGUUUAUUCUUAUUUUGUUCAUGUGUUUACAUCCACUUAUUAUUAUUAUCAUUACAUAUGCUUGUGUGUAUGUAUAUAUAACAAUAAUACUAGUAAUAAUAAUAAAUCCCCAAAAAAUCUUUUGAAUUAAACAAAACAAAAAAAACUUAUAUAGUUAUUUAUUUCUAUCUGUCUAUUUAUCUGUGUAUUUUAUUUAUUAUGUUUUCGGUUUUGUUUAUAUUGUAACCAGUUUAUUGGGAUCCUCUACCGUCAUAUGUUGUGGUGUGUGCUAGUGUUCCAUUCCAGUUUCCUAUUCAGGCUAGUUUUAUUUUCUAUUAUGUGUGUAGCUUCUGUAAUUUUUCUGAUUGUUGCAUCUGUUCUAUGUUUUCUUAUAUUUUUAUUUUAUUUUAUCUAGUUUCAGCUCACGAGCUGUG
This 7637-nucleotide long non-coding RNA is filed under the name Octopus vulgaris (common octopus). Lineage: Eukaryota; Metazoa; Mollusca; Cephalopoda; Octopoda; Octopodidae. The record is from RNAcentral.